This 65-nucleotide transfer RNA is filed under the name Erianthus versicolor. RNAcentral's name for it is "tRNA-Asn". Lineage: Eukaryota; Metazoa; Arthropoda; Insecta; Orthoptera; Chorotypidae. The record is from RNAcentral.
UUAAUUGAAGCCAAAUAGAGGCAUAUUAAUGUUAAUAAUAUCAAUGAACUUAUAUUCCAAUUAAG